UGAUUGCGUAACGCGUGGGAAUCUGCCUUUAGGUUCGGAAUAACUCAGAGAAAUUUGAGCUAAUACCGGAUAAUGUCUUCGGACCAAAGAUUUAUUGCCUUUAGAUGGGCCCGCGUUGGAUUAGCUAGUUGGUGGGGUAAAGGCCUACCAAGGCGACGAUCCAUAGCUGGUCUGAGAGGAUGAUCAGCCACACUGGGACUGAGACACGGCCCAGACUCCUACGGGAGGCAGCAGUGGGGAAUAUUGGACAAUGGGCGAAAGCCUGAUCCAGCAAUGCCGCGUGAGUGAUGAAGGCCUUAGGGUUGUAAAAU
Molecule: ribosomal RNA, 311 nt
Filed under: Porphyrobacter sp. SP43
Lineage: Bacteria; Pseudomonadati; Pseudomonadota; Alphaproteobacteria; Sphingomonadales; Erythrobacteraceae
Description: bacterial SSU rRNA
Rfam family: Bacterial small subunit ribosomal RNA
Source: RNAcentral